This 107-nucleotide small nuclear RNA is filed under the name Jaculus jaculus (lesser Egyptian jerboa). The record is from RNAcentral. Lineage: Eukaryota; Metazoa; Chordata; Mammalia; Rodentia; Dipodidae.
GUAGUCUCUGUGGUAGCACAGAUACUAAAAUUGUAACGACACAGAGAAGAUCUGCAUGGAUCAUGUACAAGGCUGACACACACAUUUGUGAAACAUUCCAUAUUUAU